RNAcentral lists this ribosomal RNA (620 nucleotides) under Pseudomonas sp. I12B-00328. RNAcentral describes it as "bacterial SSU rRNA". It matches the Rfam family "Bacterial small subunit ribosomal RNA", at positions 97 to 713 of the family's 1533-position model. The record is from RNAcentral. Lineage: Bacteria; Pseudomonadati; Pseudomonadota; Gammaproteobacteria; Pseudomonadales; Pseudomonadaceae.
GGCGGACGGGUGAGUAAUGCCUAGGAAUCUGCCUGGUAGUGGGGGACAACGUUUCGAAAGGAACGCUAAUACCGCAUACGUCCUACGGGAGAAAGCAGGGGACCUUCGGGCCUUGCGCUAUCAGAUGAGCCUAGGUCGGAUUAGCUAGUUGGUGAGGUAAUGGCUCACCAAGGCGACGAUCCGUAACUGGUCUGAGAGGAUGAUCAGUCACACUGGAACUGAGACACGGUCCAGACUCCUACGGGAGGCAGCAGUGGGGAAUAUUGGACAAUGGGCGAAAGCCUGAUCCAGCCAUGCCGCGUGUGUGAAGAAGGUCUUCGGAUUGUAAAGCACUUUAAGUUGGGAGGAAGGGUUGCUGAUUAAUACUCUGCAAUUUUGACGUUACCGACAGAAUAAGCACCGGCUAACUCUGUGCCAGCAGCCGCGGUAAUACAGAGGGUGCAAGCGUUAAUCGGAAUUACUGGGCGUAAAGCGCGCGUAGGUGGUUUGUUAAGUUGGAUGUGAAAGCCCCGGGCUCAACCUGGGAACUGCAUCCAAAACUGGCAAGCUAGAGUAGGGCAGAGGGUGGUGGAAUUUCCUGUGUAGCGGUGAAAUGCGUAGAUAUAGGAAGGAACACCAGU